RNAcentral lists this ribosomal RNA (1173 nucleotides) under uncultured bacterium. RNAcentral's name for it is "bacterial SSU rRNA". It matches the Rfam family "Bacterial small subunit ribosomal RNA", at positions 25 to 1163 of the family's 1533-position model. The record is from RNAcentral.
CAGGACGAACGCUGGCGGCGUGCCUAAUACAUGCAAGUCGAACGCACUGACGUCGACAGAAGGUGCUUGCACUGGAAGUUGAUUGACGUGAGUGGCGGACGGGUGAGUAACACGUGGGUAACCUGCCCUUAAGCGGGGGAUAACAUUUGGAAACAGAUGCUAAUACCGCAUAAAAGUUGAGAUCACAUGGUCUUAAUUUGAAAGACGGCCUUUGGCUGUCACUUAAGGAUGGACCCGCGGCGUAUUAGCUAGUUGGUGAGAUAAUAGCCCACCAAGGCGAUGAUACGUAGCCGACCUGAGAGGGUAAUCGGCCACAUUGGGACUGAGACACGGCCCAAACUCCUACGGGAGGCAGCAGUAGGGAAUCUUCCACAAUGGACGAAAGUCUGAUGGAGCAACGCCGCGUGAGUGAAGAAGGUUUUCGGAUCGUAAAACUCUGUUGUUGGAGAAGAACAGGGACUAGAGUAACUGUUAGUCCUUUGACGGUAUCCAACCAGAAAGCCACGGCUAACUACGUGCCAGCAGCCGCGGUAAUACGUAGGUGGCAAGCGUUGUCCGGAUUUAUUGGGCGUAAAGCGAGCGCAGGCGGUUUCUUAAGUCUGAUGUGAAAGCCUUCGGCUUAACCGAAGAAGUGCAUCAGAUACUGGGAAACUUGAGUGCAGAAGAGGAAAGUGGAACUCCAUGUGUAGCGGUGAAAUGCGUAGAUAUAUGGAAGAACACCAGUGGCGAAGGCGGCUUUCUGGUCUGUAACUGACGCUGAGGCUCGAAAGUAUGGGGAGCGAACAGGAUUAGAUACCCUGGUAGUCCAUACCGUAAACGAUGAAUGCUGAGUGUUGGAGGGUUUCCGCCCUUCAGUGCUGCAGCUAACGCAUUAAGCAUUCCGCCUGGGGAGUACGACCGCAAGGUUGAAACUCAAAGGAAUUGACGGGGGCCCGCACAAGCGGUGGAGCAUGUGGUUUAAUUCGAAGCUACGCGAAGAACCUUACCAGGUCUUGACAUCUAGCGCCAAUCCUAGAGAUAGGACGUUCCCUUCGGGGACGCUAAGACAGGUGGUGCAUGGUUGUCGUCAGCUCGUGUCGUGAGAUGUUGGGUUAAGUCCCGCAACGAGCGCAACCCUUAUGAUUAGUUGCCAGCAUUUAGUUGGGCACUCUAAUCAGACUGCCGGUGACAAAC